GCCUGGGUGGCUCAGUCGGUUGAGCAUCUGACUUCGGCUCAGGUCAUGAUCUCGCGGUCUGUGAGUUCGAGCCCCUGCUUCGGGCU
Transfer RNA from Felis catus (domestic cat), 86 nucleotides. It matches the Rfam family "tRNA". From Rfam's summary of the family: Transfer RNA (tRNA) molecules are approximately 80 nucleotides in length. Their secondary structure includes four short double-helical elements and three loops (D, anti-codon, and T loops). The record is from Rfam. NCBI's taxonomy places the organism in Eukaryota, Metazoa, Chordata, Mammalia, Carnivora, Felidae.